AGUCGUAACAAGGUUUCCGUAGGUGAACCUGCGGAAGGAUCAUUAGUGAAUAUAGGACGUCCAACUUAACUUGGAGUCCGAACUCUCACUUUCUAACCCUGUGCACUUGUUUGGGAUAGUAACUCUCGCAAGAGAGCGAACUCCUAUUCACUUAUAAACACAAAGUCUAUGAAUGUAUUAAAUUUUAUAACAAAAUAAAACUUUCAACAACGGAUCUCUUGGCUCUCGCAUCGAUGAAGAACGCAGCGAAAUGCGAUAAGUAAUGUGAAUUGCAGAAUUCAGUGAAUCAUCGAAUCUUUGAACGCACCUUGCGCUCCAUGGUAUUCCGUGGAGCAUGCCUGUUUGAGUGUCAUGAAUACUUCAACCCUCCUCUUUCUUAAUGAUUGAAGAGGUGUUUGGUUUCUGAGCGCUGCUGGCCUUUACGGUCUAGCUCGUUCGUAAUGCAUUAGCAUCCGCAAUCGAACUUCGGAUUGACUUGGCGUAAUAGACUAUUCGCUGAGGAAUUCUAGUCUUCGGAUUAGAGCCGAGUUGGGUUAAAGGAAGCUUCUAAUCAGAAUGUCUACAUUUUAAGAUUAGAUCUCAAAUCAGGUAGGACUACCCGCUGAACUUAAGCAUAUCAAUAAGCGUAAAAGUCG
This 635-nucleotide ribosomal RNA is filed under the name uncultured fungus. RNAcentral describes it as "eukaryotic LSU rRNA". The stretch from base 199 to 352 matches the Rfam family "5.8S ribosomal RNA". The record is from RNAcentral. Lineage: Eukaryota; Fungi.